Carica papaya (papaya) is the source of this 250-nucleotide non-coding RNA. The record is from RefSeq and is a predicted model, not a curated record. Lineage: Eukaryota; Viridiplantae; Streptophyta; Magnoliopsida; Brassicales; Caricaceae.
UGACGUGGUGUCUAAACAUCCCGGUGUGACUUGACGACACUGAUACCAGUUAUCCUCUUUCAUUUUUCUCACCGUCGCCGGACCGGACUUUCGAAGAGGCUGGAGCUCAAGCCGGCGAACCAACUUCUCGCCGAUCUUUCUAUUUUUCCUUCCGUACUCAGUUGUGAACUCGUUUCUUCUACCUCCCUCCAUUUCUGUGGUUCAGCGCCGCGGCAAAUCUCGAGAUUUUUGCAAUAAGAUCAGCGUAAAG